UACGGAAGGCAGCAGUGGGGAAUAUUGCACAAUGGGCGCAAGCCUGAUGCAGCCAUGCCGCGUGUAUGAAGAAGGCCUUCGGGUUGUAAAGUACUUUCAGCGGGGAGGAAGGCGAUGUGGUUAAUAACCGCGUCGAUUGACGUUACCCGCAGAAGAAGCACCGGCUAACUCCGUGCCAGCAGCCGCGGUAAUACGGAGGGUGCAAGCGUUAAUCGGAAUUACUGGGCGUAAAGCGCACGCAGGCGGUCUGUUAAGUCAGAUGUGAAAUCCCCGGGCUUAACCUGGGAACUGCAUUUUGAAACUGGCAGGCUUGAGUCUCGUAGAGGGGGUAGAAUUCCAGGUGUAGCGGUGAAAUGCGUAGAGAUCUGGAGGAAUACCGGUGGCGAAGGCGGCCCCUGGGACGAGACUGACGCUCAGGGU
This 420-nucleotide ribosomal RNA is filed under the name uncultured bacterium. Its description in RNAcentral is "bacterial SSU rRNA". It matches the Rfam family "Bacterial small subunit ribosomal RNA", at positions 340 to 752 of the family's 1533-position model. The record is from RNAcentral.